Molecule: ribosomal RNA, 484 nt
Filed under: uncultured bacterium
Lineage: Bacteria
Description: partial 16S ribosomal RNA
Rfam family: Bacterial small subunit ribosomal RNA
Source: RNAcentral
AUUGAACGCUGGCGGCAUGCUUUACACAUGCAAGUCGAACGGCAGCGCGGGCUUCGGCCUGGCGGCGAGUGGCGAACGGGUGAGUAAUACAUCGGAACGUGCCCAAUAGUGGGGGAUAGCUCGGCGAAAGCCGGAUUAAUACCGCAUACGACCUGAGGGUGAAAGCGGGGGAUCUUCGGACCUCGCGCUAUUGGAGCGGCCGAUGGCAGAUUAGCUAGUUGGUGGGGUAAAGGCCUACCAAGGCGACGAUCUGUAGCUGGUCUGAGAGGACGACCAGCCACACUGGGACUGAGACACGGCCCAGACUCCUACGGGAGGCAGCAGUGGGGAAUUUUGGACAAAGGGCGAAAGCCUGAUCCAGCAAUGCCGCGUGUGUGAUGAAGGCCUUCGGGUUGUAAAGCACUUUUGGCGGGAACGAAAAGGACUGUGCCAAUACCACGGUUCGAUGACGGUACCCGCAGAAUAAGCACCGGCUAACUACGUG